UCGGGAAUCUUGGGCAAUGGGCGAAAGCCUGACCCAGCAACGCCGCGUGAGGGAUGAAGGCCUUCGGGUCGUAAACCUCUGUCGGGAGGGAAGAACGGUUUCCAUUCGAAUAGGGUGGGAGCCUGACGGUACCUCCAAAGGAAGCGCCGGCUAACUCCGUGCCAGCAGCCGCGGUAAUACGGAGGGCGCGAGCGUUGUUCGGAAUCAUUGGGCGUAAAGCGCGUGUAGGCGGCUUGGCAAGUCGGUCGUGAAAUCCCGGGGCUCAACCCCGGAACUGCGCUCGAAACUGCCUGGCUAGAGUCCCGGAGGGGAGGGCGGAAUUCCCGGUGUAGAGGUGAAAUUCGUAGAUAUCGGGAGGAACACCAGUGGCGAAGGCGGCCCUCUGGACGGUGACUGACGCUGAGACGCGAAAGCGUGGGGAGCAAACAGGAUUAGAUACCCCCGUAGUCC
RNAcentral lists this ribosomal RNA (450 nucleotides) under uncultured prokaryote. Its description in RNAcentral is "bacterial SSU rRNA". It matches the Rfam family "Bacterial small subunit ribosomal RNA", at positions 355 to 796 of the family's 1533-position model. The record is from RNAcentral.